RNAcentral lists this ribosomal RNA (83 nucleotides) under Prevotella brunnea. The record is from RNAcentral. Lineage: Bacteria; Pseudomonadati; Bacteroidota; Bacteroidia; Bacteroidales; Prevotellaceae.
CUUCCCAUCCCGAACAGAGAAGUUAAGCCCGGUUGCGCCGAUGGUACUGCAAUGCAAUGUGGGAGAGUAGGUAGCUGCCUUUU